UUAAGUUCAGCGGGUAUUCCUACCUGAUCCGAGGUCAACAUUUCAGAAGUUGGGUGUUUUACGGACGUGGACGCGCCGCGCUCCCGGUGCGAGUUGUGCAAACUACUGCGCAGGAGAGGCUGCGGCGAGACCGCCACUGUAUUUCAGGGCCGGCACCCGGUGAGGGGUCCCGAUCCCCAACGCCGAUCCCCCGGAGGGGU
RNAcentral lists this unclassified non-coding RNA (200 nucleotides) under Trichoderma sp. Its description in RNAcentral is "partial internal transcribed spacer 2". The record is from RNAcentral. Lineage: Eukaryota; Fungi; Ascomycota; Sordariomycetes; Hypocreales; Hypocreaceae.